AGGCGCAUGGCCCAAUUGGUAGGGUUGCGGUCUCCAAAACCGUCGGUUGGGGGUUCGAGUCCCUCUGCGCCUG
Molecule: transfer RNA, 73 nt
Filed under: Spirochaetota bacterium
Lineage: Bacteria; Pseudomonadati; Spirochaetota
Description: Spirochaetes bacterium (freshwater metagenome) tRNA-Trp
Rfam family: tRNA
About the family: Transfer RNA (tRNA) molecules are approximately 80 nucleotides in length. Their secondary structure includes four short double-helical elements and three loops (D, anti-codon, and T loops). Further hydrogen bonds mediate the characteristic L-shaped molecular structure. tRNAs have two regions of fundamental functional importance: the anti-codon, which is responsible for specific mRNA codon recognition, and the 3' end, to which the tRNAs corresponding amino acid is attached (by aminoacyl-tRNA synthetases). tRNAs cope with the degeneracy of the genetic code in two manners: having more than one tRNA (with a specific anti-codon) for a particular amino acid; and 'wobble' base-pairing, i.e. permitting non-standard base-pairing at the 3rd anti-codon position.
Source: RNAcentral